AAUAAGUUAAAACUUUCAACAACGGAUCUCUUGGUUCUGGCAUCGAUGAAGAACGCAGCGAAAUGCGAUAAGUAAUGUGAAUUGCAGAAUUCAGUGAAUCAUCGAAUCUUUGAACGCACAUUGCGCCCAGUGGUAUUCCACUGGGCAUGCCUGUUCGAGCGUUAUUAAGUCCAAAUUAAGCACUGCUUAGCGUUGGA
Molecule: ribosomal RNA, 197 nt
Filed under: Oxydothis cyrtostachicola
Lineage: Eukaryota; Fungi; Ascomycota; Sordariomycetes; Amphisphaeriales; Oxydothidaceae
Description: 5.8S ribosomal RNA
Rfam family: 5.8S ribosomal RNA (bases 11-164)
About the family: 5.8S ribosomal RNA (5.8S rRNA) is a component of the large subunit of the eukaryotic ribosome. It is transcribed by RNA polymerase I as part of the 45S precursor that also contains 18S and 28S rRNA.
Source: RNAcentral